Molecule: ribosomal RNA, 422 nt
Filed under: uncultured archaeon
Lineage: Archaea
Description: bacterial SSU rRNA
Rfam family: Archaeal small subunit ribosomal RNA
Source: RNAcentral
CAGCCGCCGCGGUAAAACCAGCACCUCAAGUGGUCAGGAUGAUUAUUGGGCCUAAAGCAUCCGUAGCUCGUUUUGUAAGUUUUCGGUUAAAUCCAUGCGCUUAACGUAUGGGCUGCCGGGAAUACUGCAUAACUAGGAAGUGGGAGAGGUAGACGGUACUCGGUAGGAAGGGGUAAAAUCCUUUGAUCUAUUGAUGACCACCUGUGGCGAAGGCGGUCUACCAGAACACGUUCGACGGUGAGGGAUGAAAGCUGGGGGAGCAAACCGGAUUAGAUACCCGGGUAGUCCCAGCUGUAAACUAUGCAAACUCAGUGAUGCAUUGGCUUAUGGCCAAUGCAGUGCUGCAGGGAAGCCGUUAAGUUUGCCGCCUGGGAAGUACGUACGCAAGUAUGAAACUUAAAGGAAUUGGCGGGGGGAACACC